Molecule: transfer RNA, 78 nt
Filed under: Candidatus Odinarchaeum yellowstonii
Lineage: Archaea; Promethearchaeati; Candidatus Odinarchaeota; Candidatus Odinarchaeia; Candidatus Odinarchaeales; Candidatus Odinarchaeaceae
Also listed under: 1 other name
Description: tRNA-Arg
Rfam family: tRNA
About the family: Transfer RNA (tRNA) molecules are approximately 80 nucleotides in length. Their secondary structure includes four short double-helical elements and three loops (D, anti-codon, and T loops).
Source: RNAcentral
GGGCCCGUAGCGAAGCCAGGACAUCGCGCAGCCCUCCGGAGGCUGAACUCACCGGUUCGAAUCCGGUCGGGCCCGCCA